Molecule: long non-coding RNA, 1579 nt
Organism: Setaria italica (foxtail millet)
Lineage: Eukaryota; Viridiplantae; Streptophyta; Magnoliopsida; Poales; Poaceae
Exons: 8
Source: RefSeq, a predicted model, not a curated record
UCCGAUGGAAUGCGUGUUGGGAGCCACCACGCGCCGUCCGCUGCGCCUCCUCCAGCCCCGCACUUCACGCUUCGCCCUCCGAUCUUCCACUCGCUCUCCUACUCCUCCUCGCUCGCCCUAGAUCCCCGCCGCCGCCCGCAAUCCUCCUCUCCUCAAGAUCCACCAGCCGCCGUCCGCGAGGGAGACAACCCAUCGGCCCUCUACGCCGCUGCCGCCACCGCACAACCCAACCCCAACUUCCCUUCUUUCCUCCCCUGCACCAGCCGCCGUGAUUGAUCCCCCCGCCUCCAUGAGACCGGUGCGAAGUGCGCGCUCCUUCUGCCCCUCCUGCAUGGCGAAAGGCCGAUGGCUAUGGUAGGUUGCUGCAGCGUCGCCGGCGCCAGCCGCACAGCAGCGCCGUUUGAUGGCAAGCGAGAGAAGAAAAGUGCCCCAGUAAACGAACCGCUUCUUCACCGGGAGGUCCAACUCCGGCGUCAGUACAUCACCACAUCAGAGAUUCGUGAACUUGGAAUCAACGCCACCUUUGCCAGUUGCAGCGCCACCACCACGGUCACCGCCAAGUGCAGCAUGUUGGCCGGAAUCCAUAGUUGGCAGCCACGGAGGGAACAAGGUGGCUGCAAAUAGGAAAAUGGAAGGCUUCGGAAGAUGGGAGACGCUAUGUAGGGAAUCUUUACUUUAAAAAAACCAAAAAGGCGAAAAAACUUCGUACGUCGGGCACAACUGAGAUAAGUGAAGCCGAGGGCUUGAUUACUCGAUGCUGAGAUUAGCAUCAACCAUGAUGUUGUGCACCUGACCCACCGUAACUCUUUGAAUUGACUGUACUGAAAACAGGGCAUUUCCUGAAUUUGCAAGAAUUACGGCAUGGCCAUGGGGAUUGGUUAUGGCUCAACCGUUGCCGUCCCAUCGGCAUUCGACUUUGACACCAGCUCGUGGUGUGAUCAUGUCGGGUGCAUCGUCAAGAAGCUCAGUGACUAGGUAGAUGUAUUCUCUAUGCCAUGGUGGUUGGAGAGUUUAUAUGCUUGUAGGUGAUUAGUAAUGCAUUGGUACUAUUUGCAUGUUGGUUCUAUAUGGAGUUGAAUCUAUCAUUUUCAAGCAUGUUGUAUGAUAUAGCAUCCAAGCUAGACAAAGUCUGAGAAUGAUAAACCGUUAAAGAAAUAUUUAGUCAGGGCCCAAGAGAAGCAAGUGCUACUGCCUUGCUCUACCCCUGGCCGUGAUUGGUCAAGUGCGCCAAGGGGAUUUGCACAGCUUGGUCAGCAGCACUACAUACAGACAUAUAUUUCUUGAGGUUUUAAAUAUCAAAGGAAAGCGUCGACAGCCAAAAUAUUUAGAGAAAGCUUUAUGCCUAUAUGCUGGUGAUGGACUACUAGAAGAAUGAAUGAUGGACUACUAGAAGAAUGAAGAAUUACAGAAAGGUUUAUUGGUGAUUGCUGGUGCCAAUGGGACAUGAAUAGAUCAAUAAGAGAACUCAUAUUUAACAUAGUUGCGCUUGUAGUUAGAGAUGAUGUUUUUAUUGUCAUUGUGUUAUUACUUUGGUUGAGACAUAUAUUUGAAGUUAAUGAAGGUUUGAGUUCUUAUAUGU